CAACUUUAACCCUCUGUGGGUUCACCUGAUCCGCAGAGCUCUGCAUUCUGAACCAAAAGCCAGCCAAUAGAUCUAAUCAAAGCUAGAGCCUUCAGGGCAGCACCCAGUUCCUUCCCAAGGCCGUUGCUUAUCUCUGCACUCUGAGCGCCCAUUUACACAGCAAACCCUUGCUGAAUACCCAGGCCCAAGACCUACAUGAAUGUGUUGUGUAUGCGUCUAGGGUUGGACAAGAGCUGAGCCCACACAAUGAGAUAAGUGCUUUGAUUGAGGAAGCAGCAGCAGGAGAAAUUGCUGAUUAGAAACUCACUCACUACGGUCUGAUGCCUAUUACCUCAAUUACCCCUAAUUGACACCGCUCCUGGCUCUCUGACAAGCCAGGGGAAGUCCCAGGUCCAUGAGGCAAAGCCCUCCUGGUUUUCACCAGGAUCCAGAAGGCAGGAUUUGAACCCAGGACUGUCUGACUGCAAAGCCCUUGGCCUCUGCACCAUCUGCCUCAGAUAACAGCACUAGUAGAUUAGAGAGAGUCAGAUCCUUGAUACACUUUUGGUGAAUGAAUGAGUGAAUGAUUGAAUGCCUGAAUUGCAAGUGUCUAUCUCAUGUGUGGCUUUUCCUUGAGGCUGUGAGCAUCUCUUGAUGGCACAGUGUGUACCUUCUCCAUGUUUGAAGUCCCAGUCUGGAACAGAGGAGGGGCCUGUUGAAUAAAUGAAUGUGUAAAUGAAUGAUGAAGCCAUCAGUUAGUUCCGCUUUGGUAAAGCUUCCUGACGUUCCACUGAUACGUUUUGGAAGGAAAUCAGACUGUAGCGUUAGAAGCCAUCCCCUCCGUGAGGCUUGGCACUGUCAGGAUCUUCCAGUCUCACCUGGACUGGGCAGUGCAGCGGAGUGGAGGCAGGGCAAAGCCUGGCCCAGGCUAGGAUGGCUUGUACCCACCGGUGUCCUGUGUCUUGAGAGCUGGGAGGGGGAGGCCUGGGCAGGGGUGCCUCUGGGCCCUCAGGGGACCUUAAGAGGCCAUUGUUUCUAUUCCCCUGCUCCAUGCCAGCUCUCACUCAUCCUUUGCCCCCUCCCCAGGCAGGUGUGCAGGACCUCGUGGGGAAUGAUCAGCCUCUAGCACAGUGCCUGGCAGUCAGUGGGCUCGCAAGAAAUGUUAAGGGAAAGUCAAAUGAAAGGAAUAGAGAUAUCAGGGAAGGAUGUGCCAUAAUCAGGCUACUCGCAUGGGGAAGUUUUCCCUCCAGUCAUACUGCAGAGGCUACAGAAGGCUUCUGCCCAUCAGGUCUGAAUGCCUGGCUUUGGGGAACACAGUGUCUGAGAGACCCCCAAACAGCACCCCCUCCACCCUGAGGAACUGCUCAUUGAAUGGGUCCCUUGCAGAUAUUUUUUUCUUUUAUUCCUUUUUUUUUUUUUUUUGAGACAGAGUCUUGCUCUGUCUCCCAGGCUGGAGUGCAGUGGCCGGAUCUCAGCUCACUGCAAGCUCCGCCUCCCGGGUUUACACCAUUCUCCUGCCUCAGCCUCCCGAGUAGCUGGGACUACAGGCACUCGCCACCUCACCUGGCUAGCUUUUUGUAUUUUUUAGUAGAGACGGGGUUUCACCAUGUUGGCCAGGAUGGUCUUGAUCUCUUGACCUCAUAAUCUGCCCGGCUCCUUUUUUUUUUUUUUGAGACAGAGUCUCACUCUGUUGCCAGACUGGAGUGCAGCAAUACGAUCUUGGCUCACUGCAACCUGUGCCUCCCGGGUUCAAGCGAUUUUCCUGCCUCAGCUACUACUCGGGAGGCUGAGGCAGGAGAAUCGCUUGAACCCAGGAGAUAGAAGUUGCAGUGAGCUGAGACUGCGCCAUUGCACUCCAGUCUGGGCGACAGACUCCAUCUCAAAAAAAAAAAAAA
Long non-coding RNA from Macaca fascicularis (crab-eating macaque), 1874 nucleotides. Lineage: Eukaryota; Metazoa; Chordata; Mammalia; Primates; Cercopithecidae. The record is from Ensembl.